Molecule: transfer RNA, 73 nt
Filed under: Leucothrix mucor
Lineage: Bacteria; Pseudomonadati; Pseudomonadota; Gammaproteobacteria; Thiotrichales; Thiotrichaceae
Description: tRNA-Gln
Rfam family: tRNA
About the family: Transfer RNA (tRNA) molecules are approximately 80 nucleotides in length.
Source: RNAcentral
AUAACUGUAGCUCAUUUGGUAGAGCGAUAGACAUUGGAUCUAUUGGUAGUUGGUUCGAUUCCAACCAGUUGCG